RNAcentral lists this ribosomal RNA (1576 nucleotides) under Primolius maracana (blue-winged macaw). RNAcentral's name for it is "16S ribosomal RNA". The record is from RNAcentral. Lineage: Eukaryota; Metazoa; Chordata; Aves; Psittaciformes; Psittacidae.
AACCUUUUUCGUUGGGGUGGUGGAGGUGGCCCUUUGGUAAUUUAGUGGGGAACAUCACUUGAGGGGGGGGGCGUGCUUGGGGUAUUGGCCCCACCUUUCCGGUCCUUUCGUACUGGGGAAGGUUGGUCAUAGAUAGAAACCGACCUGGAUUGCUCCGGUCUGAACUCAGAUCACGUAGGACUGUUAAUCGUUGAACAAACGAACCCUUAGUAGCGGCUGCACCACUAGGAUGUCCUGAUCCAACAUCGAGGUCGUAAACCUCCUCGUCGAUAGGGGCUCUUGGGGGAGAUUGCGCUGUUAUCCCUGGGGUAGCUUGGUCCAUUGGUCAGAUUUACUGGGUCUGGGUACUGUUAGUACGUUGAGAGGUUGCUCUUGGUUAGGGGGUUUGGCCCUGUUUUUGGAGGGUCUGUUUUUCUCCAAGGUCGCCCCAACCUAAAAAUGUUAGCCAGUGUUUUAGGUGGUGAGCCCGGGUGGGUUGGUAAGUUGGGCGGGGUGGCUAUUGAUUUUGAAGUUCCACAGGGUCUUCUCGUCUUAUGUGUUUAUCUCUGCUUUUGUACAGAGAGAUCAGUUUCACCGAUCAUCUACAGGAGACAGUUAAGACCUCGUUUAGCCAUUCAUACAGGUCUCGAUUUAUGGGACAAUUGAUUGCGCUACCUUUGCACGGUUAGGAUACCGCGGCCGUUAAACAUAGUGUCACUGGGCAGGCAUCACCUUCAAUACUUGUUUGGCUGAAGGCUAUGUUUUUGGUAAACAGUCGGGUCUUAAGUUUGCCGAGUUCCUUUUGUAGAUUAUGAUCACUCCAGUGUGCGCCCCUGAGUUGGAUUGACAGGGUGUGUUCAAUGGUGGGGGUGUGGUUAUUAUUGAGGCUUUACUGUUAAUGGUGUGGUAGGCUGGCGCUUGGGGGGACGUGGUGUCCUGGUUACUCGUUCUAGCAUUAGUUCAUCUAUUGUUAUAGGUUGGCCUGCUGUGGGUGUAGGGAGUCGCAUUGGUUUUGAGGGUUUUUAGUUGAUGGAGCUUUGACGCAAUCUUUGGGGGUGGCUGCUUUAAGGCCCACGGAGUUGGGUGUGCGAGGGUUAUCCGCUGAUAGAGGUUGUAUCCUUUUUUAAAGGGGCUGUACCCCCUUUAAAUAGCCCUUAACCAUCACAUUUGAGUUAGGUUUGUCUGGGGGGAAAGAAAAGAAGGGUUAAGGUGGAACUUAGAUUCGUCUUGCAGGCAACCAGCUAUCACCCAGCUCGGUUGGCUUUUCACCGCUACUAACAAGUCAUCCCACUCUUUUGCAACAGAGACGGGUUAGCUCGUGACAGCUGCUUGUGAGUAGCUCGCUUGGGUUUCGGGGUGGCAGGCUUAAGCUCGCUUUGUCUGGUUGUUCUUGCUAGAUCAUGAUGCAAAAGGUACAAGGGGUUAUCUUUGCUAUAUUGUGCUUGGCUUUCAUUGUUAUUUCAUCUUUCCCUUACGGUACUGUUAUCUAUGGCGUCCGAGUUGUACUUUUCUAUCGCUUAUACUAAGUUUGGGGUAAUGUUUUAGUUGGGCGGGGUGGUGGGUUUUUGAUUAUGGUUGGCGGAGCUAGGGUGGGCCU